CAGUAAAAUAGUAACAGGACAGUGAUAGUGAAGAUAGAAGAAAAGUGUUUGCCCUAGCGGUCUCUUGGCGUUGUUUACAAGAACCGUGAUGGCGGACAGAAGGGUUCGGUGACCAGUGACACUCUUUCAAUUUCCUUCACUCCCAGAACUCAGAUAUUCAACAAGAAAGGGAAAAGAAGAGAGAGAGAGAGAGAGAGAGAGAGAGAGAGAGAGCAAGAGGCACACAGACAGACAGGCAGUGAGAGAGAGAGCAAGAGACAGACAGACAGAGAGAGAGAGAGAGAGAGCAAAAUGGAGGGUGAUCUGUGCCCCCUUUCUCUGUCACAGCCAGCAGCCACAGACCUGCCUGAUAUUGCUCAGUUUUUAUCUAUUUAUAUGUCUGAGGAAGAGACACUAGCUCUGCAGGAGGGACGAGUGAGCAGUGUGAUGAGCCACAGUGUAUUCACAGCCACAGAGCAGCCCACACAGCACACAGAAUUGACACCACAGCCAGCACUACCACCACCGCCACCGCCGCCACCACAACAGCAGCAGCAACAACAACAACAACAACAACAACAACAACAACGGGAUCAUGAUUUCAGUGUCAUGUCUCUGGUCUCUCACAGCCCCAAUGCAGGGUGAGUGCUGGCAGUCUGGCCAGGCGGCGGUGGUGGUGGUGGUGGCGGUGGUGACGCUACCCGGGGACAGGCAGCGUGGUGGUGGUUGGCCUGGUGUCUCUGGCCAGGUAGUGUGGGGCCUGGAGGAGGUGCAGGAGGCAGCCCGCCACUGCCCCACUGCUGAGGUGACUGUGGUGCAGUGUGGCGUGGUGCUGGCACGGCACUGCUGCACCACACCACACACCACACCACUGCCACCAUCAUUUAUUUAUUUAUUUAUUUUUGAGUAGACAAGCAAACACAUACACACACCCAUAAACACACACACACACACACACACACACACACA
Scylla paramamosain (green mud crab) is the source of this 948-nucleotide long non-coding RNA. RefSeq lists it as uncharacterized. The transcript is spliced from 4 exons. NCBI's taxonomy places the organism in Eukaryota, Metazoa, Arthropoda, Malacostraca, Decapoda, Portunidae. The record is from RefSeq and is a predicted model, not a curated record.